GAGAGACGUCAGGAGAAGAGAAGAGAAAAAUGUAUGUUUUCUAGGUCUCCAGUGGUCUUUCUUCUCUUUAGAUGGUUUAACUGCAGGUCUUUCAGAUUGCUGUGCGAAGAGACCACGAACUCAACUGGGUCCCAGCUGGCCGUUUUGGAGGAGUGGGUGCACGCAGUGAGCCUGCUAUUGGGAAUUCUGUUGAGAACACCUGAGAGCUAUCUGUCGGCCAGGCUCCAGGGCAGAAGCUCUGCGGAGUGACCUGUUACAUGCAAAUUCCUGGGCUGUUUUCUGUUCCUUUGUGGAACUGUCAGAACACAGUGAACCAAGAUUAACAUUAUCCAGAAGACUUGAAGCUCCUCUGACGCAGAAGUACACAGCAUGGUAGUAAGGAGAGUAGGCGCUGGUGGAGUUACAUGAUCAGAACUUGAAUACUGAUGCUGCUAACUAGUACCUUUUAAAUUGGACAAGUCAUGGUUUCUGUGAAUGCCCAUUCUUUGAACGGUAAAAAGGUAACAGCACCUAUCACUUGGAGCUGCUACGAGGAGCCAGUGAUAAGAUAUGUAGGUUCCCAGAACAGUGCCCAGCUUAUGUUAAGAGCUCUAUUCACAGUACUCAUUUUUAUGUUAUUUAUUGUCGGUAUUACUAUGAUUCAGUUCUCUACAAAAUCAGAUAUGUGGGGUUGGGACCUUACAUCACCUUUUCAAUACAGCUCUCAAGGGUUUAAAGAUAAACAAGGACUCAUACCUUUUGUAUAUGUAGACCUGGAACAUAAAACCUACUCUGAUGACGGGUUCACAUCCACCUUGUAAUUUGUCUACAAUAAUGUCAACAUGGAGCUACAAAUAAUCUCACAUAUGCUACAUUAACAGUUUACUUAGAAAUUGGGGUAGAUGUCGCUGCAUGUUUUCAAUCCUCUCAACUAAUGCUGUGGUCACACUUCUGGGAAAAGCCUAGGAUGGUAUCACUUAACAUUUUUUCUUCAACUUGUUCAGAUUUUAAAGGUGCAAUAUUAUUGAUUAGCCACAUGGGGGCAUGAAGCUCUAAUUUUUCCUGAAGUUGACCAGGACGUCUAUCCUAAGCAUUAGAAGUUGUAAUGCCUUAGAUAUCUUAGAAAAACCAAACAAUGUUCCUGAAAUAUUUUAUAUGGGCAGUGUUAGAAAUGAACAAAGCAUGUUUGUGUUUAAAAGUUGAUCGUGCAGAUUUGUGUUCUGGCUGUAAUAUCCAACCCCGGAGGCACAUUACAAUCACCUGGAGGGCUUUUAAAAUAUGAAUUCUGCUGCACACCACCCGUCUGGGGAUGGCAAGGCAACAGUAUCAGCAUUUUUAAAAAAGCUCCCCAGGUAAUUGCAAGGUUGAGAACCGCUGAUCUAUGGAUUAGUGGAGCUUGAAAGUAAUAUGAAACACCUGGCCAUCUGACACUGACCUGUAAUAAGUGAUGCCAGGGGUCACGGUCACGUUAUCAGAAAAUAAACAAAAGUUGAAAAAUAAAGACUGGCAAGCUAAUUACUAUUGGAGCCAACAUUUCCUUAAUUUGUCUCCCUAUUGAGGCUACAGACUCCCUGGGGUGACUAAACUGGCUCCGGCUACAUAUUUUCAAAGAGAAAAUCAAAGUGACUGAAUGUCCAUUAGCCAGACAGCUUGUCUCACUGAGCCUGAAGCCAGUGGAUUGCAACCUCUCAAGCCUCAGAGGCAGUCCUGGGGCCACCCUCCCUUCUCUCCUCCUGGAUUCCUAACAACCAGCUGAGGUUGUGUUUGAUUUCAAAUUCCUCUGAUUGUAACAAUACAGGCAUUAGAUAUGCAAAGUUAAAAAGGAAAACCAAGGAGGAAGAGAUGAUUUCAGAUCACAUGUGGUUAUACUCAAGAAUCACUCUCAAUUCAUAACAAAAUGACCAUAACGAAAUAUUGAGCUUACUAAUUAGUCCAAAACAGAUGAAAAUGCUUAUCAGCUUCUGAUGUUCCGGAAUGUGGGACUCUUUUUGGCCUGUGACAUUUCUUAUUGCUGAAUUGAAUGUUUGGAUGUGUAAUAAUUCAUCUUUUAGAUAUUUUGAGGAAAGUCCUCUGCUUAGAAGGUGUGGAGGCUGGGUAUAUUUCUUAGAUGGAGGACUAAGAAAUGAGGCGUGGGCCAGGAGCUGUGGCUCACGCCUGUAAUCCCAGCACAUUGGGAGGUCAAGGCAGGCAGAUCGCCUGAGAUCGGGAGUUCGAGACCAGCCUGGCCAAGAUGGUGAAACCCCAUCUCUACCAAAAAUACAAAAAGGUUUAGCUGGGCAUGGUGGCGCACGUCUGUAAUCCCAGCUACUUGGGAGGCUGAGGGAUGGGAAUCGCUUGAACCUGGGAGGCAGAGGUUGCAGUGAGCGGAUAUCGCGCCACUGCACUCCAGCCUGGGUGACAGAGGGAGACU
This 2389-nucleotide long non-coding RNA is filed under the name Homo sapiens (human). RNAcentral describes it as "HSALNT0252004". The record is from RNAcentral. Lineage: Eukaryota; Metazoa; Chordata; Mammalia; Primates; Hominidae.